GACGAACGCUGGCGGCGUGCUUAACACAUGCCAGUCGAACGGAAAGGCCCUGCUUUUGUGGGGUGCUCGAGUGGCGAACGGGUGAGUAACACGUGAGUAACCUGCCCUUGACUUUGGGAUAACUUCAGGAAACUGGGGCUAAUACCGGAUAGGAGCUCCUGCUGCAUGGUGGGGGUUGGAAAGUUUCGGCGGUUGGGGAUGGACUCGCGGCUUAUCAGCUUGUUGGUGGGGAAGUGGCUUACCAAGGCUUUGACGGGUAGCCGGCCUGAGAGGGUGACCGGCCACAUUGGGACUGAGAUACGGCCCAGACUCCUACGGGAGGCAGCAGUGGGGAAUAUUGCACAAUGGGCGGAAGCCUGAUGCAGCAACGCCGCGUGCGGGAUGACGGCCUUCGGGUUGUAAACCGCUUUCGCCUGUGACGAAGCGUGAGUGACGGUAAUGGGUAAAGAAGCACCGGCUAACUACGUG
This 468-nucleotide ribosomal RNA is filed under the name uncultured bacterium. RNAcentral's name for it is "partial 16S ribosomal RNA". It matches the Rfam family "Bacterial small subunit ribosomal RNA", at positions 28 to 507 of the family's 1533-position model. The record is from RNAcentral.